GGCCUAAAUCGCAUCAUUGUAUCAUGGACUAGAAUGACAACGCACUCAAAUCAGUGAGCCAAAUUGAAAAAACAAAGCAAAAUAAAAAGGAUGCAAUUGAAGCCCCAUGCGAAUGCAAAGGAUUUAGCGCGCAAAUUUACCUUGCAUACAAAAUGGCUCAGAUCCGAUUCACAUUUCGGGCCAAUGCGCGGACCUUCAUUGCUAGUGAACGACACCGUUUUUUCAAUAUGUUAUUUAGAACCUUCCUUCUACCCUUUUCUUCUCCAAACACAACCCCCAUUCAAUCAACAUUCAUAGCCCAAAAAUCAAAUGGCCUGGGCUCCUUUCAGCAGCUACCGAGUUACCAUUCCAUUUGGUGGCCAGUAACGCAUGGGCAGUGACCAGAUCUCGCCAUCGGAGGCUCCACACGAAGAAAUCUGAUUUGGCCGUACAGAGGAGGCGUGCGAAGGAGGCUGCGCGAGGAGCCACUCGUGGGAGUCCCAAUUUCUGGCCUAUUCUGGCACGUUCCAGAAGCUCCCAGUGCUGCUGAGAUAAUUUUGGAUGUAUUGGGCCUCGGGUUUUAGGGCUUAUUGGGUCAUGGGUUAUUAAAAAUGGGUUAAAAUUAUUGGAUUUUAUGUAAUUGGGUAAAGGGUUUUUUUUGGGGGUAUUUGUUUAAUUGGAUUAAAAAUGUAUUUGGGCUGCUUUAAUUUAGUUUAUUUUCUGUUUA
Molecule: long non-coding RNA, 706 nt
Organism: Gossypium arboreum
Lineage: Eukaryota; Viridiplantae; Streptophyta; Magnoliopsida; Malvales; Malvaceae
Exons: 2
Source: RefSeq, a predicted model, not a curated record